CUGACCUGGGGUCCCUGCUUCUCCAGGUGCUCCCGGAUUUUGCUCUCUAGCCUCCGGUUCUCGGUCUCCAGGCUCCUCACUCUGUCCAGUUUUCCUGACUCUGAUUCUGCGUGGGACAACCAGUGAAAAUUGCAGGUGAAGAGAAGAAAUGCGUAUUUAUUCCUCCACUGGGAAAAAAAAUACCAUCCAAAGCUACAUGACUUGAGAGACAAGGUCUCACUAUGUUGCCCAGGCUGGCCUCGAACUCCCGGGCUUCAGCAGUCCUCCCGCCUCACCCUCCGAUGUAGCUAGGACUACAGGACCGCGACCCGGCGCUGCCUAAGAACUGUUUUUAAACGUGAAAGCCACGGCUAUCAUUUGCUUUUUGCUCUGCUCUUCAUCUUCUGGAUAAACCUCGUAACACACUGCUUGUUUUGGGUGGUAGUCUGCUGCCUACGCCCCGUCAGACAAGUGGCCUGAGUCCCCCGCAACCCCUGCAGGUCCGGCCGCCGGCGCCAAGCCUCAAGGCAUCCAAGCCAGGAACGAUCGCGGUCAGCUCUGCCACGGAACAUGUGCAAGACCCGGCAGCAGGUUCCGGGGGAGGCGAAUUGAUUUCACAACGGUCGAGAAGGAGGACCCCGCCCACUUCGUCAUUUCUCGGAAGCCCAGGGACUCGCCGGAAGAGCGGCUCAAAAGCCGGAAAACUGGCAAAUCCGAGUCUCCCGGCGCAUGCGCGGCGCAAUCGGCUUCGCGUGGUUGCAGUAGAGAGGAUCCCUCCGCCAGCCACUGCAUCCGGCGGCCGGAUCUAACUUACCCGCUAGCGUUUUACCCUUGCGCGGCCGUGGCGUAGGGCGGUCUUUUCCCUUGGUCCUCCGCGGCGCCGCCUCUUGUGACGUAAGCCGCAGAAUCCUCUGUCUUAGUUCGGCUCUAUUGCCGCGAGCUUGACUCUUCCUGGGUCUGAGGAAAAGUAAAAGUAAUUUUGUCAUUUCCUGAAACUUCAAGUUAAACCUUUAAGCUGUUCAUUUCCUAAAAGGGUGAAAACGCGGGCACCCCUCGAGCUAGUUCAUCGCCUUUUAACCUGUUGUUGGAUCUUUCCAGAUCACCACACCACAUCACCCAGCCACUCUGCCCAAUGGGAGGGCAGACAGUGUUCCAGUGUAGGAGGAAGGGGUGUAAGGUGCGGGCAGUUUGUGAGGAGGGCACCAACGAGAGCUACUGUGAGAAAGUCUGCAUGGUCAAAAAGUGGAUUACCAAGAACAAAGCAUCAUAAUGUUGUCCAGUGGACCCCAGGUUGAAAAGUCAGGUUCUGGAAUUGGCUGUCUGGAUUAAAAUACUGGUUCCAUCACUGAGAAGCUGUGUGACCUUGCGAAAAUUACUUAAUCUCUUUGUGUUUCAGUUUUCUGAUCUGUAAAAUGAAGUCAAUAAUGCCCCUUUUCUGAGGCCUCCCUUGGCCAGAUAUGAUUAAAUAUUUAUCAAACUAAGGACUCAGCUUACUUGGAGUGAAAACUCUUCAGGGCCUCUCAGAGAUACCUAAGAUAAGUACCUUAUUUUAGUAGCUCUCAAAUAAAGCUUCUUUUAUGCUCUGUCUUUUUCAUAUAUAAAAUAAGGUCUAAUUAGAAAGUUUUAUAAUGGAGGCAGUCAAUUCCCCAAUUCCUUAUUUGUUUGAAUUAACUUUUAAAAAAUUGGGGUGUUCACUCUGGCGUUGGCUCAAUCCAGACUCUGUAAUCAGCCAACAAUCUGUGCUUCACAAAGGCUGGCGUCCUAACUGCCAGCUUCUGCCAUCCGCACCUUUUCCGUGGGGUAAUACAUUUUAAUUGGUACUUCUCUGAGAGCCCUACACAUCUCCAUCUGGCCAAAUAAACAUACUUUUACUAUUCAGCCUCAACAUCUUGGCAGUUAACAAGAGGACAGACUUGCCACAAUGGGUAAUCUUUAAGAUGCAUAAAAUCCUAAAAUUAAAGGACCAGGUACAGGUGGUAUAAUCAAUGGCUGCCUAGAAGAUGGCUCAUCUACAAAGUGGCUUUGUGUUCCACAGUCUUUUUAACACUGCUCUUGUGAUCCUAAAUGCAGUUCCUGAGCCGAGUCAGCAUUGAGAGCUCUCUCCUCUCAAAGGGCACAUUAGUGAUGAAAUAUUUCACUUCCAAUGACAGCAUAACUUUUUGGAUAUAGGCUUAUUAGCAACGUGUUUCCACUGGUUGGAUUGAGCAAGUGUAACCAGAAGGCAGAAUGGUGAAAUGGUUAAGAGCAUGGGUUCUAGAGUCAGGCUGCGUUCAAAUUCUGCUGCUGUUAAUUUAUCUUUGUGACCUUGGGCAGUUACCAUACCUCUCUGUGCCUCAGUUUCCUCAUCAGUAAAGCAGAGAUAAUGUCAGUAUUUUCCUCAUAAGAGUAUUGCAAGGACUGAUUAAAUGAGAUAAGGUGUCUGAUAUGUUUAGCACAGGGCAUGACUUGUAUUUGCUAACAAUUAUUUUUAGGCAAGGUCAGUAGACCAAAUAACUUGAGCAGCAGAAAGGAAGUGGAAGGCGAAUAACCAGCUAUGAGGUUAUUUCUCAGAUAAUUUCUUCCUAUUUCAAUGCUUCACUUUUUACAGUUUAAUCAUCAAGCAACAGUGUUAGGGAUUACGUGAGAUAAUAUGGUCUGUGUGCUGAUUCACUCAUUUAGUGUGGUCUCAUUUCCUUAAAGAACACAUCUUGAGAGAACACUUUUUUUCUCUCUAACCCUCAGGGUCAUCUGGAUGAAAUGAAUACUUUUAGGGCAAAAUGGCUGAUACUGCUUCCUUGAUAACCACAUAUAGAAAACUGACAACUGUUUAGAACAAAGCCAAAGAUGAAACCAAAUAUAAAACCACUGAUGAAAACUAAGUGAAAAAUAUAAGCAAAAUAGAAGAAAAAUAAGGUCGUUAUUUCAAGAAAACGAAAGACAGUCAAUGCUGUUCUUUGUAUUCACAUACAAUUUGGUUCACACCAAAAUGUGAGUUGUUCUCUAUGAGAUGUUAUUAAAUGUUCCUAAGAAGACUCGCUUUAGAAAAAAACAGUAUUCCUAAGGCAUGUCCAAUCUGUCUCUUUUCUUAAUUGCUAUAGUUCUACUUUAUUAUUAUAAUGUAUUCAGCAUUAAAAUUCAUUAUUUCCCAAUAAGCUUGACUUUAUCUUAUAAUGAAAUACAACUGUCUUCUUGGUGAUUUUUAUAGGAGAUAUUAUGGAAAUAUUUUAUUAACAGAAGUAAAUAAAGUGUCAUAUCAUUUGGCUUUUCAGCCGUGUUAUAACAUUUGCAUUUUGUUUUUUCUGCCUUUACCCUCCCUGCUUCUAGCUGCAUAAAAUAAUGCAUUUUAAAAAUAAAAAUACAUUAUUUUUCAACAUAUGUGUGACAAUAAAAAGAUCACUGGGUCAGGGGUCAGACGAUCUGAGUUCUGCCCUUUCAUUUUCUUAUCUGUAAAAAUGAUUCCUAAGAUUCCUUCUAUUACUAACAUUUUAUAAUCUACAUUCAAAUUUUAUGUGAAAGUUUAGUGCAUCCGAGAUAACUAUUUUCAAAUAAGAAUCUCUUUUGAUGCUAACAUCUAUGCAUCAAAUUCUUCAUUCUCAAGUUGUAAGUUGCUCUUUACAUAAUUUCACCUAUGUACAUAUAUUCUAUAGAAAAAAGAGACAUUCCAGUAUCUUAACAAUGUCAAAAAGGAUAUACUGACACUAACAUUAACUGGAGAUUGGAAGACUAGACAAAUCAAGGCUAGAACUACAUAAGGGAAGCUAUUCUCCCAAAUACGCUGUUUUUGCUGUUGUUUAACCAAAGAUAUCUUCCCUUUCAUUCUUCUUUUUUAAAGCUAAGGAUAUUUAAGACAUUAAUAUGUUUGGCUAACUGAUUAAUA
Molecule: long non-coding RNA, 3835 nt
Filed under: Homo sapiens (human)
Lineage: Eukaryota; Metazoa; Chordata; Mammalia; Primates; Hominidae
Description: HSALNT0315641
Source: RNAcentral